Molecule: non-coding RNA, 73 nt
Organism: Caenorhabditis elegans
Lineage: Eukaryota; Metazoa; Nematoda; Chromadorea; Rhabditida; Rhabditidae
Source: Ensembl
GUCGAGAAAGACCUUGCCUGCUGGCGCCGGACGAAAGUAAGACUCUCGUCGUCUGGCACAGCAACGACUCAAU